CACGUAGGGCGCAAGCGUUGUUCGGAUUCAUUGGGCGUAAAGGGUGCGUAGGUGGCGUGGUAAGUCGGGUGUGAAAUUUCGGAGCUUAACUCCGAAACUGCAUUCGAUACUGCCGUGCUUGAGGACUGGAGAGGAGACUGGAAUUUACGGUGUAGCAGUGAAAUGCGUAGAUAUCAAGAGGAACACCUGAGGUGAAGACGGGUUGCUGGGCCGACACUGACGCUGAUGCGCGAAAGCCAGGGGAGCAAACGGG
RNAcentral lists this ribosomal RNA (253 nucleotides) under uncultured bacterium. RNAcentral's name for it is "partial 16S ribosomal RNA". It matches the Rfam family "Bacterial small subunit ribosomal RNA", at positions 524 to 776 of the family's 1533-position model. The record is from RNAcentral.